GACUUCUACUGGAAGUCCCAAGAGUUUUCUUGCAAAGAGUUCCAGAGAGCAGCUCCCCCCUUUCUAUUCGAACAAGAGUGUCCCCAGGAGUAAUAAUACCUCUUUCCGUAUCUGUGUGCCAGGCAGCAGUUCUGAUAAGAUUUAUCUGCUUUGGAAUGAUAAGAUUAAAAACUUGUUUUCCAGUCCAAAGCGGUCGUGGUUUCAGAAUUGCAGGAGCAGGAAUUUUCCCAUCAAAAUCCUCCCACCACAUCAAGAUGUUCAUAAAAACAUCCUUCUCUAUGAAGGUAUCCCUCUUGGUGAUCUUCCGGCAUCCUAAAAGUGUAUCCUGGACAAUUCCCAUCACAGGCCGAUUUGAUUGAGGCGACACAAUGCACUUAGGCACCAUCAUCAGCUCCAACACCUCUGCUCUGGUUUCAAAUGAUUGAGGAACAUGCAUGUUCAUUUCAUCACCAUCAAAAUCAGCAUUAUAUGGUGAAGUAACAGACAAGUUCAAACGGAAAGUUGAAUAUG
This 510-nucleotide unclassified non-coding RNA is filed under the name Hevea brasiliensis (rubber tree). Lineage: Eukaryota; Viridiplantae; Streptophyta; Magnoliopsida; Malpighiales; Euphorbiaceae. The record is from RNAcentral.